This 302-nucleotide long non-coding RNA is filed under the name Phoenix dactylifera (date palm). Its description in RNAcentral is "long non-coding RNA (PDAC_LNC000558)". The record is from RNAcentral. Lineage: Eukaryota; Viridiplantae; Streptophyta; Magnoliopsida; Arecales; Arecaceae.
GUUCUUAGCUUGGGAGUUGGGAGUGCCUACAAAAAAAGGCUGGGCAUUCACAUGGGCUGUGAGUGGAUCCAACAACCCACAGUAGAUUCUUUUUCGGUUACUUUUAACCAGUUUGUCUGUUUAUUUUGUACUGUUUUCUUUCAUUUUCUCAAUGAAAACAAUUAAGCUCUGUUUAAUCUUUUUUCCAAUAUAUAUUUAUUCAUGAUAAUUGUUGGACCUUCUCCACUGGCUAAGUGUCAUGCAUGGCAUAUUAAAUUCUUUUAUUCAUCUUGCAAGGUAAUGUUCACAAAAUCAUUAAUUAU